This 492-nucleotide ribosomal RNA is filed under the name uncultured bacterium. Its description in RNAcentral is "partial 16S ribosomal RNA". It matches the Rfam family "Bacterial small subunit ribosomal RNA", at positions 29 to 507 of the family's 1533-position model. The record is from RNAcentral.
AGUGAACGCUGGCGGUAUGCCUAACACAUGCAAGUCGAACGGCAGCACCGUAUGUGCUUGCUCUUACGGGUUGCGAGUGUCGGACGGGUUACUUAUACAUCGGAUUCUACUUUUUCGUUGGUUCUACUGUAGGGGAAUUUAUGCUACUACCUCAUUCCACCUACGUGUGUAAGCCGGUGUUCUUUUGACCUUGCGCGAUUGAAUGAGCCUAUGUCGGAUUAGCUAGUUGGCGGGGCAAAGGCCCACCAAGGCGACGAUCCGUAGCUGGUCUGAGAGGAUGAACAGCCACACUGGAACUGAGACACGGUCCAGACUCCUACGGGAGGCAGCAGUGGGGAAUAUUGGACAAUGGGCGAAAGCCUGAUCCAGCAAUACCGCGUGGGUGAAGAAGGCCUUCGGGUUGUAAAGCACUUUUGUUGGGAAAGAAAAACAGCAGGUUAAUACGCGGCGGUUAUGACGGUACCGAAAGAAUAAGCACCGGCUAACUUCGUG